Molecule: ribosomal RNA, 699 nt
Filed under: uncultured bacterium
Lineage: Bacteria
Description: bacterial SSU rRNA
Rfam family: Bacterial small subunit ribosomal RNA
Source: RNAcentral
AAUACCGCAUAAGCCCACCGGUCGGCAUCGACCAGAGGGAAAAGGAGCAAUCCGCUUUGAGAUGGCCUCGCGUCCGAUUAGCUGGUUGGUGAGGUAACGGCCCACCAAGGCAACGAUCGGUAGCCGGACUGAGAGGUUGAACGGCCACAUUGGGACUGAGACACGGCCCAGACUCCUACGGGAGGCAGCAGUGGGGAAUAUUGCACAAUGGGGGAAACCCUGAUGCAGCGACGCCGCGUGGAGGAAGAAGGUCUUCGGAUUGUAAACUCCUGUUGUUGAGGAAGAUAAUGACGGUACUCAACAAGGAAGUGACGGCUAACUACGUGCCAGCAGCCGCGGUAAAACGUAGGUCACAAGCGUUGUCCGGAAUUACUGGGUGUAAAGGGAGCGCAGGCGGGAAGACAAGUUGGAAGUGAAAUCUAUGGGCUCAACCCAUAAACUGCUUUCAAAACUGUUUUUCUUGAGUAGUGCAGAGGUAGGCGGAAUUCCCGGUGUAGCGGUGGAAUGCGUAGAUAUCGGGAGGAACACCAGUGGCGAAGGCGGCCUACUGGGCACCAACUGACGCUGAGGCUCGAAAGUGUGGGUAGCAAACAGGAUUAGAUACCCUGGUAGUCCACACCGUAAACGAUGAUUACUAGGUGUUGGAGGAUUGACCCCUUCAGUGCCGCAGUUAACACAAUAAGUAAUCCACCUGGGGAG